GAGGGUAUAGCUCAGAGGUAGAGUGUGUGCUUAGCAUGCAUGAGUCCUGGGUUCAGCCCCCAGCACCUCCA
This 71-nucleotide transfer RNA is filed under the name Camelus bactrianus (Bactrian camel). It matches the Rfam family "tRNA". From Rfam's summary of the family: Transfer RNA (tRNA) molecules are approximately 80 nucleotides in length. Their secondary structure includes four short double-helical elements and three loops (D, anti-codon, and T loops). Lineage: Eukaryota; Metazoa; Chordata; Mammalia; Artiodactyla; Camelidae. The record is from Rfam by way of RNAcentral. RNAcentral also lists the same sequence under 3 other names.